UUGUCUUUGGAGUGGAGAGGUGAAGGUCUCGCGCCGCUACACCAGUGGGUAAGGAGGGCAAUCACACUUUGGACAAGCCAGUCGUGCAUCACCACUUAGGGACUGGAUUUCCUGCUGCUCACAACACCUGAAUUUAAAAAUGUCAUCUUGAAAUGCACACACUGGCAAGAUUACUGGUGACUGCAGUGCUUCCUUGUGUGAGAUCUGUCUGUUAAAAGUGAACCAGAAGCUGCUACACUGCCCCUUUGUAUGGCUGUCCCAGCACACUGAUAACACUGGUGGUGCCUUCAUUCCCUGGCCCUAAGUAUCCCUGACAGAGGUGGUUGGCAGCCCUGGAAUACUCAAUAGACAGAUGGAUCAAAGUUGGCUGAUCCAAGAUUGAAAGGAUCUGUGUUUUGUCAGACUUGUGCCAGUGGCAUGUGAUGAAGGCACUGCAAUUACUAAGUGCAAAGGUUUCUCACAGAUGGUGUGCAUUAAUUAAGAAGUUGCUUGGAAUUCAGGUAUUUUUGUAUUUUUAAAAUGUGGUCAGAUAUCUGUAGGAUAGACCAAUCAAAGAUCUAUUUCAGAAUAUUGCUUGUCCCAAAUGCCAGGAAAGGGAUUUUCUGCAACAAUCAAAUAUCUAAUAAAAAAAUAAAAGUUUAUAUAAAUAUAUUUUAGACAAGUUUCCAGUCCUGUCAUAUUCAUCAAUCAGCAAUACAGAAUUUAGUCAUUAUAUACAGUUACAUAUAUAGAUAUUACAUUCAAAUAUGUAAAUAUUUAUGUAUAUUAUUACAAAUAAUAAAGCUUGGUACAUUUUUCUUAACAGAGCUGUAUGUACUGACAGUUUAUAUCAGGUUAGUAGUGCAUACAUAGCCAAGUAUAGAAUACUGCCAUAGGUUUAAUGCUAGAAUUCCUUAUUACAAUUUCUUUAAAGUUGGUUUCAUUUGAUAAAAUUACUAAAUGUGGAACAUAAAGGGAAGACUUAGCUUUGUACUAGAGAGCUGUCACACGCUGGGGAAGCUGCCGUGGUGAGUAGUGGCCAGGCACAAUUUUUUGUUAUGAUGAUAGGCAGACAAUGCUAUGGCAAUACAUAAUUGUGAUAUAUGUCAAAUACCAUAUUUUUAUAUACAGGUAUUACAAUACACUGAUACCAAUCCACAGAAUGGAAGAUAAAUGUCAUAAAUCAUUUCCUCCUA
Long non-coding RNA from Portunus trituberculatus (swimming crab), 1175 nucleotides. RefSeq lists it as uncharacterized. NCBI's taxonomy places the organism in Eukaryota, Metazoa, Arthropoda, Malacostraca, Decapoda, Portunidae. The transcript has 4 exons. The record is from RefSeq and is a predicted model, not a curated record.